This 2699-nucleotide ribosomal RNA is filed under the name Trabulsiella odontotermitis. RNAcentral's name for it is "bacterial LSU rRNA". It matches the Rfam family "Bacterial large subunit ribosomal RNA". The record is from RNAcentral. Lineage: Bacteria; Pseudomonadati; Pseudomonadota; Gammaproteobacteria; Enterobacterales; Enterobacteriaceae.
UUAAGUUAGAAAGGGCGCACGGUGGAUGCCUUGACACUAGGAGUCGAUGAAGGACGGGACUAACGCCGAUAUGCUUCGGGGAGCUGUAAGUAAGCUUUGAUCCGAAGAUUUCCGAAUGGGGAAACCCACCAUACGUAAUGGUAUGGUAUCCUUAUCUGAAUACAUAGGGUAAGGAAGACAGACCCAGGGAACUGAAACAUCUAAGUACCUGGAGGAAGAGAAAGCAAAUGCGAUUUCCUGAGUAGCGGCGAGCGAAACGGAACAUAGCCCAAACCAAGAGGCUUGCCUCUUGGGGUUGUAGGACAUUCUAUACGGAGUUACAAAGGAACGAGGUAGACGAAGCGACCUGGAAAGGUCCGUCGUAGAGGGUAACAACCCCGUAGUCGAAACUUCGUUCUCUCUUGAAUGUAUCCUGAGUACGGCGGAACACGUGAAAUUCCGUCGGAAUCUGGGAGGACCAUCUCCCAAGGCUAAAUACUCCCUAGUGAUCGAUAGUGAACCAGUACCGUGAGGGAAAGGUGAAAAGCACCCCGGAAGGGGAGUGAAAGAGAUCCUGAAACCGUGUGCCUACAAAUAGUCAGAGCCCGUUAACGGGUGAUGGCGUGCCUUUUGUAGAAUGAACCGGCGAGUUACGAUCCCGUGCGAGGUUAAGCUGAAGAGGCGGAGCCGCAGCGAAAGCGAGUCUGAAUAGGGCGUUUAGUACGUGGUCGUAGACCCGAAACCAGGUGAUCUACCCAUGUCCAGGGUGAAGUUCAGGUAACACUGAAUGGAGGCCCGAACCCACGCACGUUGAAAAGUGCGGGGAUGAGGUGUGGGUAGCGGAGAAAUUCCAAUCGAACCUGGAGAUAGCUGGUUCUCCCCGAAAUAGCUUUAGGGCUAGCCUUAAGUGUAAGAGUCUUGGAGGUAGAGCACUGAUUGGACUAGGGGUCCUCAUCGGAUUACCGAAUUCAGUCAAACUCCGAAUGCCAAUGACUUAUCCUUAGGAGUCAGACUGCGAGUGAUAAGAUCCGUAGUCAAAAGGGAAACAGCCCAGACCGCCAGCUAAGGUCCCAAAGUGUGUAUUAAGUGGAAAAGGAUGUGGAGUUGCUUAGACAACUAGGAUGUUGGCUUAGAAGCAGCCACCAUUUAAAGAGUGCGUAAUAGCUCACUAGUCGAGUGACUCUGCGCCGAAAAUGUACCGGGGCUAAAUACACCACCGAAGCUGCGGAUUGAUACCGAAUGGUAUCAGUGGUAGGGGAGCGUUCUAAGGACAGUGAAGUCAGACCGGAAGGACUGGUGGAGUGCUUAGAAGUGAGAAUGCCGGUAUGAGUAGCGAAAGACGGGUGAGAAUCCCGUCCACCGAAUGCCUAAGGUUUCCUGAGGAAGGCUCGUCCGCUCAGGGUUAGUCAGGACCUAAGCCGAGGCCGACAGGCGUAGGCGAUGGACAACAGGUUGAUAUUCCUGUACCACCUCUUUAUCGUUUGAGCAAUGGAGGGACGCAGAAGGAUAGAAGAAGCGUGCGAUUGGUUGUGCACGUCCAAGCAGUUAGGCUGAUAAGUAGGCAAAUCCGCUUAUCGUAAAGGCUGAGCUGUGAUGGGGAAGCUCCUUAUGGAGCGAAGUCUUUGAUUCCCCGCUGCCAAGAAAAGCUUCUAGCGAGAUAAAAGGUGCCUGUACCGCAAACCGACACAGGUAGGCGAGGAGAGAAUCCUAAGGUGUGCGAGAGAACUCUGGUUAAGGAACUCGGCAAAAUGACCCCGUAACUUCGGGAGAAGGGGUGCUUUCUUAACGGAAAGCCGCAGUGAAUAGGCCCAAGCGACUGUUUAGCAAAAACACAGCUCUCUGCGAAGCCGUAAGGCGAAGUAUAGGGGGUGACACCUGCCCGGUGCUGGAAGGUUAAGGAGAGGGGUUAGCGUAAGCGAAGCUCUGAACUGAAGCCCCAGUAAACGGCGGCCGUAACUAUAACGGUCCUAAGGUAGCGAAAUUCCUUGUCGGGUAAGUUCCGACCCGCACGAAAGGUGUAACGAUUUGGGCACUGUCUCAACCAGAGACUCGGUGAAAUUAUAGUACCUGUGAAGAUGCAGGUUACCCGCGACAGGACGGAAAGACCCCGUGGAGCUUUACUGUAGCCUGAUAUUGAAUUUUGGUACAGUUUGUACAGGAUAGGCGGGAGCCAUUGAAACCGGAGCGCUAGCUUCGGUGGAGGCGCUGGUGGGAUACCGCCCUGACUGUAUUGAAAUUCUAACCUACGGGUCUUAUCGACCCGGGAGACAGUGUCAGGUGGGCAGUUUGACUGGGGCGGUCGCCUCCUAAAGUGUAACGGAGGCGCCCAAAGGUUCCCUCAGAAUGGUUGGAAAUCAUUCGUAGAGUGCAAAGGCAUAAGGGAGCUUGACUGCGAGACCUACAAGUCGAGCAGGGACGAAAGUCGGGCUUAGUGAUCCGGUGGUUCCGCAUGGAAGGGCCAUCGCUCAACGGAUAAAAGCUACCCCGGGGAUAACAGGCUUAUCUCCCCCAAGAGUCCACAUCGACGGGGAGGUUUGGCACCUCGAUGUCGGCUCAUCGCAUCCUGGGGCUGUAGUCGGUCCCAAGGGUUGGGCUGUUCGCCCAUUAAAGCGGUACGCGAGCUGGGUUCAGAACGUCGUGAGACAGUUCGGUCCCUAUCCGUCGUGGGCGUAGGAAAUUUGAGAGGAGCUGUCCUUAGUACGAGAGGACCGGGAUGGACG